GAUGAACGCUGGCGGCGUGCUUAACACAUGCAAGUCGAACGGAAAGGCCCAAGCUUGCUUGGGUACUCGAGUGGCGAACGGGUGAGUAACACGUGGGUGAUCUGCCCUGCACUUCGGGAUAAGCCUGGGAAACUGGGUCUAAUACCGGAUAGGACCACUUCUUGGAUGGUGUGGUGGAGAGUUUUUUCGGUGUGGGAUGAGCUCGCGGCCUAUCAGCUUGUGGGUGGGGGAAUGGCCUACCAAGGCGUCGGCGGGUAGCCGGCCUGAGAGGGUGUACGGCCACAUUGGGACUGAGAUACGGCCCAGACUCCUACGGGAGGCAGCAGUGGGGAAUAUUGCACAAUGGGCGCAAGCCUGAUGCAGCGACGCCGCGUGGGGGAUGACGGCCUUCGGGUUGUAAACUCCUUUCGCUAGGGACGAAGCGUUUUGUGACGGUACCUGGAGAAGAAGCACCGGCUAACUACGUG
Molecule: ribosomal RNA, 467 nt
Filed under: uncultured bacterium
Lineage: Bacteria
Description: partial 16S ribosomal RNA
Rfam family: Bacterial small subunit ribosomal RNA
Source: RNAcentral